RNAcentral lists this ribosomal RNA (376 nucleotides) under uncultured bacterium. RNAcentral's name for it is "bacterial SSU rRNA". It matches the Rfam family "Bacterial small subunit ribosomal RNA", at positions 524 to 898 of the family's 1533-position model. The record is from RNAcentral.
UACGGAGGGUGCGAGCGUUAAUCGGAAUUACUGGGCGUAAAGGGUGCGUAGGUGGUUAGAUAAGUUAUCUGUAAAAGCCCUGGGCUUAACCUGGGAAGGCCAGAUAAAACUGUAUAACUGGAGUAUGGGAGAGGGUAGUGGAAUUUCCGGUGUAGCGGUGAAAUGCGUAGAGAUCGGAAGGAACACCAGUGGCGAAGGCGGCUACCUGGCCUAAUACUGACACUGAAGUACGAAAGCGUGGGGAGCAAACAGGAUUAGAUACCCUGGUAGUCCACGCUGUAAACGAUGUCAACUAGCUGUUGGUCAUAUGAAUGUGAUUAGUGGCGAAGCUAACGCGAUAAGUUGACCGCCUGGGGAGUACGAUCGCAAGAUUAAA